UCCCUGGUGAUCUAGUGGUUAGGAUUUGGAACUUUCACUACCAUGGCCUGGGUUCAAUUCCCAGUCAGGGAA
This 72-nucleotide transfer RNA is filed under the name Chrysemys picta bellii (western painted turtle). RNAcentral describes it as "tRNA-Glu (TTC) (tRNA-Glu-TTC-10-1)". It matches the Rfam family "tRNA". Rfam says of the family: Transfer RNA (tRNA) molecules are approximately 80 nucleotides in length. Lineage: Eukaryota; Metazoa; Chordata; Testudines; Emydidae. The record is from Rfam by way of RNAcentral.